RNAcentral lists this ribosomal RNA (164 nucleotides) under Sieruela rutidosperma. RNAcentral's name for it is "Cleome rutidosperma 5.8S ribosomal RNA". It matches the Rfam family "5.8S ribosomal RNA". Rfam says of the family: 5.8S ribosomal RNA (5.8S rRNA) is a component of the large subunit of the eukaryotic ribosome. It is transcribed by RNA polymerase I as part of the 45S precursor that also contains 18S and 28S rRNA. The record is from RNAcentral. Lineage: Eukaryota; Viridiplantae; Streptophyta; Magnoliopsida; Brassicales; Cleomaceae.
CUAACGACUCUCGGCAACGGAUAUCUCGGCUCUCGCAUCGAUGAAGAACGUAGCGAAAUGCGAUACUUGGUGUGAAUUGCAGAAUCCCGUGAACCAUCGAGUCUUUGAACGCAAGUUGCGCCCUAAGCCGUCAGGCCGAGGGCACGCCUGCCUGGGUGUCACGC